UGCUGUUAAAGCGGCCCUGCCAGGAGAGC
RNAcentral lists this non-coding RNA (29 nucleotides) under Mus musculus (house mouse). Lineage: Eukaryota; Metazoa; Chordata; Mammalia; Rodentia; Muridae. The record is from RNAcentral.